AAUGAAACCACCAAAGUAGGAAUAUAGAAUACAGGAAUAAAAAUAUUCUAGAUGAACUAAAAAACUAAAAAAAGACCAAAACAAAACACAACACACAAAACAAAGCAAAACAGCAACAAAAAACACCCCACAAAACAACAGGUAGAAAAGAUGUAAGACAGAAAUAUACAAUCACUUUAAUCACAGAGUUAUAAAAAAUGUGUUUCUGAAGUGUAAAAAAUACAAUUCUGACCAUGAAAGAAAAUUUAUGAUGUACAGAAAAGAUGUCUGAUUUCUACCUUGAAAGUGUUCUGCGUAUUAUCAGACAAAGAAACAAAGACAGGAUUUCUGCAGUAAGUAUAACCAGACUACUCAUCCACUAGUAUCUUCUUUCUUUAUACAAUUUUUCUAACUGGGACUAUCAUGAGAGAAGAGCCAUUCAGUAUAUAAAUUAUACAGUAUCUGCAAUUUUAGAAGAUGUUAGUAAGAGGAAAGCUCUUAAUAACUUCUUAAUAUAAUUCUUAAGUUCACAGAAGUGGUAAAAGGUGGUAGAGAGAUAAAAUAUGUUCAAAAAACUCUCACAGAAAGAUUCCUUAAAGCUAAUCACUUUUUAUAUGGCUAAGACAUUUGUAAGCCAUCUGUUAAGUGCAAGAGUAAUAGCUUGCUUUUCCAGUUUGCCGCAGUAGUAACUCUAAGAGCCUAAAUAAAAAAAAAAAAAACCAUAGGGAAACCUCACAGAAUGUUAAAACUAAAUAAACUGCCUAAAAUAUGAGUGCUUGUAACAUAGGAGUGUCCCUUGUGUUAUACUAGCCAACGUUUUAGUAGAAAAAAUUUCAUUCAAUCAUCUACUGAAGAAAAUAGGCAAAUGAAAUACGAACCCUAACUUUUAACUGUUAAGACACACAAAGUUCAUAGAAUGAGCCAAGCAGGAAUAGCAUACCUCAAAAUUUUUCUGCAGAAAUUUGGGAAAUAAGAAUAAAGAAUUCAAACUAAGUUUAGCAAACAUAUUCCGUUCUUGCUGUGAGAAACAAGAAGAAGUUAAAUAGUGAUUGACUCCUUUGGGAAUGCAAAACUGGGCUGGCGAGCAGUAAGCAAAAAUGACUCUUCUACAGCUCAAUUUCACAUUUCCUCUCUCUUAG
This 1118-nucleotide long non-coding RNA is filed under the name Strigops habroptila (Kakapo). RNAcentral's name for it is "lncRNA (ENSSHBG00005017305.1)". The record is from RNAcentral. Lineage: Eukaryota; Metazoa; Chordata; Aves; Psittaciformes; Psittacidae.